RNAcentral lists this ribosomal RNA (492 nucleotides) under uncultured bacterium. Its description in RNAcentral is "partial 16S ribosomal RNA". It matches the Rfam family "Bacterial small subunit ribosomal RNA", at positions 29 to 507 of the family's 1533-position model. The record is from RNAcentral.
AGUGAACGCUGGCGGUAGGCCUAACACAUGCAAGUCGAACGGCAGCACAGUAAGAGCUUGCUCUUACGGGUGGCGAGUGGCGGACGGGUGAGGAAUACAUCGGAAUCUACUUUUUCGUGGGGGAUAACGUAGGGAAACUUACGCUAAUACCGCAUACGACCUACGGGUGAAAGCAGGGGAUCUUCGGACCUUGCGCGGUUGAAUGAGCCGAUGUCGGAUUAGCUAGUUGGCGGGGUAAAGGCCCACCAAGGCGCCGAUCCGUAGCUGGUCUGAGAGGAUGAUAGGCGACAUGGGAACUGAGACAGGGUCCAGACUCCUACGGGAGGCAGCAGUGGGGAAUAUUGGGCAAUGGGCGCAAGCCUGAUCCAGCCAGACCGCGUGGGUGAAGAAGGCCUUCGGGUUGGAAAGCCCUUUUGUUGGGAAAGAAAAGCAGCAGGUUAAUACCACGCUGUACUGACGGUACCGAAAGAAUAAGCACCGGCUAACUUCGUG